UAGAUGAGUCCAUGGUUUGGGAAAGAGGUUUCGGCCCUCUUUUUAGGAGUAGUAUUUCCUCUUAUCUGU
Molecule: transfer RNA, 69 nt
Filed under: Mimachlamys senatoria
Lineage: Eukaryota; Metazoa; Mollusca; Bivalvia; Pectinida; Pectinidae
Description: tRNA-Arg
Source: RNAcentral